AUUAAAUAAAAUUUGUUAUAAACAAAAUGAAACAAUUGCAUAUAAAAAAUGCAAUGAAAUGUUCAAAUAUUGCUAUUGAUAGAAGACGACAAUAGUAAUUACAAAUCGCUAUAUUUAAUUUUAAAAAAUGCUAUAGUUAAAAACUUAUAAUAUCAUUUUGGCGACGCUAUAAUACAAAUUUACAAUUGCAUAUCAAGAACCGCUAUUAAUAAUAAAAUAUCAAUAGCACAACAAAAAUCCGCUAUGAAAUGUACGAGACCUAUUAUCGCGGGCGAUAUUGGAGCGCUUUCUACAACGCUAUGGUAGCGUCUUAUAGCGCUUUAGCGGUGCCAUCAAAACCCUUAUUUCCUGUAGUG
RNAcentral lists this long non-coding RNA (356 nucleotides) under Brassica rapa (field mustard). Its description in RNAcentral is "long non-coding RNA (BRAP_LNC008556)". Lineage: Eukaryota; Viridiplantae; Streptophyta; Magnoliopsida; Brassicales; Brassicaceae. The record is from RNAcentral.